AUCUGUUUCUAGCUCAGUGGGUAGAGCAUGAGACUCUUAAUCUCAGGAUCAUUGGUUCUUGCCCCACAUUGGGCA
Podarcis lilfordi (Lilford's wall lizard) is the source of this 75-nucleotide non-coding RNA. The record is from the annotation of a GenBank genome assembly. Lineage: Eukaryota; Metazoa; Chordata; Lepidosauria; Squamata; Lacertidae.